This 235-nucleotide unclassified non-coding RNA is filed under the name uncultured Agaricales. RNAcentral's name for it is "sequence contains ITS1". The record is from RNAcentral. Lineage: Eukaryota; Fungi; Basidiomycota; Agaricomycetes; Agaricales.
UUGAAACAAACUUGGUUUGGGUUGUUGCUGGCUUUUAAAAGCAUGUGCACGCCUAUUCCAUUUUUAACCACCUGUGCACUUUGUGUAGACCUGAAACACUCUCAAGUUGUAUCUUGGUUUGAGAAUUGCUAUACAGCUUUUCUUGUAUGUCAGGUCUAUGUCUCUUUACCUACACACUAUAAAUAUGUAUCAGAAUGUUUAUAAUUGGCCCUUCGUUGCCUUUUAAAAAUUGAAA